AUGGAUCACACCCCGGAGAUCAUCUGCUGGAAUGUGAGAGGGUUGAACAACCCGGCCAAGAGGAAGGUAGUUAGGGAGUUCCUUUCUUCUUUAAAAGUCAACCUAGUUUGCUUGCAAGAAACGAAGCUUGAGCUUGUAGAUCAAUUCAUGGUUAUGCAAUGUUUAGGGCCAUCCUUUGAUGGCUUUGCUUACUUGCCGGCUGAGGAAACGCGUGGAGGUAUAUUAUUGGCAUGGGACACU
Molecule: ribosomal RNA, 240 nt
Filed under: Triticum aestivum (bread wheat)
Lineage: Eukaryota; Viridiplantae; Streptophyta; Magnoliopsida; Poales; Poaceae
Description: partial small subunit ribosomal RNA
Source: RNAcentral